AUUGAACGCUGGCGGCAUGCCUUACACAUGCAAGUCGAACGGUAACAGGUCUUCGGAUGCUGACGAGUGGCGAACGGGUGAGUAAUACAUCGGAACGUGCCUAGUAGUGGGGGAUAACUACUCGAAAGAGUGGCUAAUACCGCCUGAGAUCUACGGAUGAAAGCAGGGGAUCGCAAGACCUUGUGCUACUAGAGCGGCCGAUGGCAGAUUAGGUAGUUGGUGGGAUAAAAGCUUACCAAGCCGACGAUCUGUAGCUGGUCUGAGAGGACGAUCAGCCACACUGGGACUGAGAAACGGCCCAGACUCCUACGGGAGGUAGCAGUGGGGAAUUUUGGACAAUGGGCGCAAGCCUGAUCCAGCAAUGCCGCGUGCAGGAUGAAGGCCUUCGGGUUGUAAACUGCUUUUGUACGGAACGAAAAGCCCCGGGUUAAUACCCUGGGGUCAUGACGGUACCGUAAGAAUAAGCACCGGCUAACUACGUGCCAGCCGCCGCCGUAA
RNAcentral lists this ribosomal RNA (498 nucleotides) under uncultured bacterium. Its description in RNAcentral is "partial 16S ribosomal RNA". It matches the Rfam family "Bacterial small subunit ribosomal RNA", at positions 30 to 523 of the family's 1533-position model. The record is from RNAcentral.